This is a long non-coding RNA of Ostrea edulis (European flat oyster), 1675 nucleotides long. RefSeq lists it as uncharacterized. The record is from RefSeq and is a predicted model, not a curated record. The transcript is spliced from 4 exons. Lineage: Eukaryota; Metazoa; Mollusca; Bivalvia; Ostreida; Ostreidae.
UACUACUUCCGGGUACAACAACAUGUGGAAUAUAUAAAGUCGUAACAGAGAAUCGGCGCUAAUAUGUAAUUUGGUGUAUUGUCAAGCGAUCGGCUGCAUACAUGAGACUGGGAAAACCCUGCCAUGUAGUUUAUUUAGGUUCCUAGUCGAUGCUACAGUAAGGAAGCGGUGGAUACAAAAAUUUAGACACAAAGUUAAGAAACCUGCUGAAGCAGAAGCAUCUGCUUCAAACGUACAUGUAGGAACCGAAGUUGAUACUGCUACCAAUAUAUCUGUACCAGACAACAAUGAAGUGCAUCUACAUGAUCACGAGUAUACAGCACCAAACCCUCAACAUUUAAAAAGCUUCCCUUGAAGACUAUGAUGUUGUAAACUUGCAGUGAGAAAUAUACCUGCUUAAUUAAAAGAAACCAUCCUUGACAAUUGGGAACAUCAUAAUUGAAAGACCCUGGAAAGGGAUCAUGAACACUGUUGGGAGUGUCGUUUCAACUGAAAUAUAAAAGUCAGAAGAAUUGAAGAUUGCAAUGGAUGCAACAGAAGUGACCUAAUAUGACCAAAUUGAUAUGAAUAGCCAGUUUUUCGCUUGCAGUAAUGACAAGAGUCGCCACAGAAAAAAAGACCUUAAUGUGUAUUACACCCAAUGCAGCUUAUUUCCAAUGUGUAUGCUGGAUACAAAUCUAAUUUGGCAAUUGUGAACCAUUGUGGCAUUUUAGAGAAGUUGCAAGUUGGUGAUAUAUUCCUGGCGGACAAAGGAUUUUGUAUAUUUGACAAACUUCCAAAUGAUAUGACACUUAAUAACCCAUUCUUUCUUACAAAUAAAUCCCACUUCUCAAAAGAGGAUGCACAACUUUGCUAUAAAAUUUCCAGAUGCCGAAUCCAUGUUGGAUGGGAAAAUGAGAGAAUUUUUUUUUUUUUAAAAAUUCCUUAGUCAUAUUCUAUCGUAGUAUAGAUAUUGAUCUGACAAAAUAUUUCAGAUUUGUGUGGAUCAUGUAAAUUUGCAGGUUCCCCUUUUGAAGGAGAUUGCAGAUAAAUCCUACACACUUAUUAGAUUAAUUGCAUGUAUAUAUAUACCUUAAAUCUGCACAUACCUGCCACAUUGAAUUUUUAAAGUUAAAAGUAAUGAAUGCAAGGUGAAGAUAACGAAUAGUGAUCAAUCUCAUAACUCCUACAAGCAAUACAAAAUAGAUAGUUGGGCAAACACGGACCCCCGGACACACCAGAGGUGGGAUCAGGUGCCUAGGAGGAGUAAGCAUCCCCUGUGGACCGGUCACACCCGCCGUGAGCCCCAUAUCCUGAUCAGGUAAACGGAGUUAUCCGCAGUCAAAAAUACCAUAUAUGCAAUAUAACUUUUCUACAUAUUUAUAUAAAUAUAAAGCCUUUUAUAUUCAUAUGAAUAUAAAGCCCUUUGGAACGUCUCCAUCAGAAUGAAAUAUUCUCUCGAGGAACGUUAAACAAUAUACAAUCAAACAUAAAGCCUUUUGUUCUCAUUCUGAAGGUUUUCAAAUCUGCAUUAUUAGAAAAGAAGUAAAAUCCAUUGUUUUAGUAAAUGCAUGUAAUUGAAUGAUUUUUGUAAAGCUGGACACUGUGUCUAUACAUACAUGUAUUUUGGUUCAUCUAAAAUAAGAAAAACUCUGUCUAUAAUGUUUAUUCAAUAAAUAUACAUGUAAUUACAUAA